AUUACUCUUCCCUUUUGUGGCUCUAUUCUCUUCCCUAAAACCUUAUAUAAUCAAAAAAACCAAUACUUGAAGAAUGGAUAAAACGUACAAGUUACGAUUUUCCUUUGCUCUCCGUAAACAACAAAAUCCUAACAUCUGUUGUUGAUGACAUGUAUCAGCAAUAAUGGAGGAAAUCAGAACGAAAGCCAAACAUAAUUAAUAAAGGGCAUAUCUAAGAUAGAUGGAGAAUGAAAUUUCUUUUGAAAGAAAGGAGAAUCAUAAAUGCAGACGUCGGAAAACGGAAAUUCUUCAUUUGUUACUGAUGAUAACGAAGGAGUACAUAAUAUGAUGACCAAGGCGAUAAUAUAUAGAAGUAAGGGGAACAUUUACUGUGAUGAUAAUUACAUUAAUAAUGAUGCUUAAGAUAUAAGUGUAUUUGCUAGA
Long non-coding RNA from Papaver somniferum (opium poppy), 423 nucleotides. RefSeq lists it as uncharacterized. The transcript is spliced from 4 exons. The record is from RefSeq and is a predicted model, not a curated record. Lineage: Eukaryota; Viridiplantae; Streptophyta; Magnoliopsida; Ranunculales; Papaveraceae.